UGGGGAAUCUUGCACAAUGGGGGCAACCCUGAUGCAGCGACGCCGCGUGAGCGAUGAAGCCCUUCGGGGCGUAAAGCUCUUUCGACCGGAACGAUAAUGACGGUACCGGGAGAAGAAGCUGCGGCUAACUACGUGCCAGCAGCCGCGGUAAUACGUAGGCAGCAAGCGUUGUUCGGAGUUACUGGGCGUAAAGAGUGCGUAGGCGGUUUUCUAAGUUCGGUGUGAAAUCUCCCGGCUUAACUGGGAGGGUGCGCCGAAGACUGGGAAGCUGGAGUGUUGGAAAGGCAGGCGGAAUUCCUGGUGUAGCGGUGAAAUGCGUAGAUAUCAGGAGGAACACCUGCGGUGUAGACGGCUUGCUAGACCAUAACUGACGCUGAGGCACGAAAGCGUGGGUAGCAAACA
Molecule: ribosomal RNA, 402 nt
Filed under: uncultured bacterium
Lineage: Bacteria
Description: bacterial SSU rRNA
Rfam family: Bacterial small subunit ribosomal RNA
Source: RNAcentral